Molecule: ribosomal RNA, 234 nt
Filed under: Aethaliopsis melanospora
Lineage: Eukaryota; Evosea; Eumycetozoa; Physariida; Physaraceae
Description: Badhamia melanospora partial small subunit ribosomal RNA
Source: RNAcentral
AGGCUAAUACGUGAACGUAACCCCCCGCUGACGGGCGACCGGAGGCUGGGGACCGUGCGAGUAGGCGCAAAGUUUAUUGGGAGUAGUCGCACAGUACGACCACCAUACCAAACGGUAUCCGCUUCGCCGCCUCACGGCGGCGGGCGGUGUCCGGGUGGCUCUUGCAAGGUGCUUCUGACCUAUCAACUAGAUGGCAGCGUAACGGACAUGCUAUGGUGACAACAGGUACAGACG